This 234-nucleotide long non-coding RNA is filed under the name Prunus persica (peach). RNAcentral describes it as "long non-coding RNA (PPER_LNC004800)". The record is from RNAcentral. Lineage: Eukaryota; Viridiplantae; Streptophyta; Magnoliopsida; Rosales; Rosaceae.
CAAGCCCCCGAGUUCCUUCGGCCGCUAUUUCCUAGCCACACGAAAUCCAUCCGCACCAGCCUUGGGCUCCAUCCGACCUUUUUCUUGCGCAGCCCGGAUUACUUCGGUCGCAUAUUCUUGGGCAAGUCACAAAGGCCCGGUCGCAACUCAGCAUUUCAAUACUUUGCUGCCCAUUCUCAAAAUCUCGAAACAUUUCAGCUGCAACAGAGUAUAGCCCAGGUUGGGUGAUUUCUC